This 270-nucleotide ribosomal RNA is filed under the name uncultured archaeon. RNAcentral describes it as "partial 16S ribosomal RNA". It matches the Rfam family "Archaeal small subunit ribosomal RNA", at positions 477 to 747 of the family's 1478-position model. The record is from RNAcentral.
CGGCCCCUCGAGUGGUGGGGAUGAUUAUUUGGCCUAAAGCGUCCGUAGCCGGCCGGGUAAGUCUCCCGUUAAAUCCAGCGUCUCAAGCGUUGGACUGCGGGAGAUACUGCCUGGCUAGAGAGUGGGAGAGGUCAGCGGUAUUCUGGGGGUAGGGGCGAAAUCCUUUGAUCCCCGGAGGACCACCAGUGGCGAAGGCUGCUGACUAGAACACGUCUGACGGUCAGGGACGAAAGCUGGGGUAGCGAACCGGAUUAGAUACCCGAGUAGUCC